RNAcentral lists this ribosomal RNA (448 nucleotides) under uncultured bacterium. RNAcentral describes it as "SSU rRNA". It matches the Rfam family "Bacterial small subunit ribosomal RNA", at positions 26 to 518 of the family's 1533-position model. The record is from RNAcentral.
AGAGCGAACGCUGGCGGCAUGCUUAACACAUGCAAGUCGCACGGGCACUUUCGGGUGUCAGUGGCGGACGGGUGAGUAACGCGUAGGUAUCUGUCCAUGGGUGGGGGAUAACGCCGGGAAACUGGUGCUAAUACCGCAUGAUGACUGAGGUCCAAAGGCGCAAGUCGCCUGUGGAGGAGCCUGCGUUCGAUUAGCUUGUUGGUGGGGUAACGCCUACCAAGGCGACGAUCGAUAGCUGGUCUGAGAGGAUGAUCAGCCACAUUGGGACUGAGACACGGCCCAAACUCCUACGGGAGGCAGCAGUGGGGAAUAUUGGACAAUGGGCGCAAGCCUGAUCCAGCAAUGCCGCGUGGAUGAAGAAGGUCUUCGGAUUGUAAAGUCCUUUCGACGGGGACGAUGAUGACGGUACCCGUAGAAGAAGCCCGGCUAACUUCGCGCCAGCAGCCGC